CCCGAAAGGGAGCCGUAACACAGGUGCUGCAUGGCUGUCGUCAGCUCGUGACGUGAGAUGUUGGGUUAAGUCCCGCAACGAGCGCAACCCUUGUCCCUAGUUGCUACGCAAGAGCACUCCAGGGAGACUGCCGGUGACAAACCGGAGGAAGGUGGGGAUGACGUCAAGUCCUCAUGGCCCUUAUGGGUAGGGCUUCACACGUCAUACAAUGGUCGGAACAGAGGGUUGCCAAGCCGCGAGGUGGAGCCAAUCCCAGAAAACCGAUCGUAGUCCGGAUCGCAGUCUGCAACUCGACUGCGUGAAGCUGGAAUCGCUAGUAAUCGCGGAUCAGCAUGCCGCGGUGAAUACGUUCC
Molecule: ribosomal RNA, 353 nt
Filed under: Burkholderia sp. 166S
Lineage: Bacteria; Pseudomonadati; Pseudomonadota; Betaproteobacteria; Burkholderiales; Burkholderiaceae
Description: bacterial SSU rRNA
Rfam family: Bacterial small subunit ribosomal RNA
Source: RNAcentral